RNAcentral lists this ribosomal RNA (406 nucleotides) under uncultured bacterium. RNAcentral's name for it is "bacterial SSU rRNA". It matches the Rfam family "Bacterial small subunit ribosomal RNA", at positions 29 to 424 of the family's 1533-position model. The record is from RNAcentral.
AAUGAACGCUGGCGGCGCGCCUAAUACAUGCAAGUCGAGCGAGAAGACGUAGCAAUACGUUUGUAAAGCGGCGAACGGGUGAGGAAUACAUGGGUAACCUACCCUAGAGUGGGGAAUAACGUAGCCGAAAGGUUAGCUAAUACCGCGUACGCUCCUUGGACUUCGGGUUCAGGGAGGAAAGCGAUACCGAGGGUAUCGCGCUCUUGGAUGGGCUCAUGUCCUAUCAGCUUGUUGGGAGGUAACGGCUCACCAAGGCUUCGACGGGUAGCUGGUCUGAGAGGACGAUCAGCCACACUGGCACUGCGACACGGGCCAGACUCCUACGGGAGGCAGCAGUAAGGAAUAUUGCGCAAUGGGCGAAAGCCUGACGCAGCGACGCCGCGUGGGGGAUGAAGGUCUUCGGAUU